Molecule: RNA transcript, 938 nt
Organism: Eutrema salsugineum
Lineage: Eukaryota; Viridiplantae; Streptophyta; Magnoliopsida; Brassicales; Brassicaceae
Exons: 5
Source: RefSeq, a predicted model, not a curated record
UCUUUUUUUCCCGGACAAAAUUUUCAUUCUCAUCUCCGACGGAUUUCAGUCCGUCGAUGGCUACAAACUCUUCGUCGAGGAAAGCAGUCCAGAAUAUCCAUAACUGUUUUAUCGGUCUUCUCUUCGUGAUGGCUUUGGGAUUCUUCUGUCUCACGAUCCUCCUUUACUUAAGCCUCGAUCCGGAUUCGGCUACACAACGUCUUCUUCCGCCGCUGCCUCUGAUUACUUAUGGUAGUGAAGAAAAUAUUACGGAAAGAGAGAUGGAGGCAGCUCAACAUCUGAUGCAGCUAAGCGACGAAGAAGAUAUUAGUCUCAAUAUAAUCACGAAGAAGAAGAUUGUGGCAUUAUUUGGUAAAGAUGAUAUUUAUCAAGAUCAAUGUACGAACACGAAGGAAAUGGUGGUGAUGAGAGUAAUGCCAUCGCAGAGGAAGAAGAAGAAGAAGGAAACAAUGAGUGAUUACGGUGAGAAGACUUGUCAUGGCCGAUGCUCUCAAAGCUCUUGACAUUGUAAUUAUCAGGAUUUGUGUUUUCUCCGGCGGCUUCUGAGUAAUCUGCAUCGGAGCUUGUGGAUCCUCGUGACAGCGGUCGCAGUGGAAGACGAUAUCGAUUGGUAAUAGAAUCUGUGAAUCAUUUGUGAAUAUUUUACUUUGUUUAAAGCCCUCAUUUUGGAUUAUAGAGAAAGAAUUUUGGAUUGUGUAGCUGUGUUUCUUAUGUUGUUGUAGCUUAAUAAAAUGCAUUUCUCUGUGUAUAUUUUACCUGCUAAAUCACAAGAACAUUCAUUUUAUCACGGAUUAGAAACAUCUCAAAGAAGACAAAGGAAGGAAAGAAACGACACACAUUCUCUUCUUGUUAAAUUGUAUGUUUUGCUUGUUUUAAUUUAAAUGUACUACAUAAGCUUUAAUCAAUUAAGUAUUUAUAUUAAAUUGUAUGUUUAGUUU